GAUCUCAUUCCACAAACAUUAGCGUUUCUCUCUCGAGGUGUCUUUUGUGGCUUUAUUUAUGGAUUAUUGUGUUUCUCUUUAUCCUUUUCUGUCUUUUGCGUAAUUAUUAUUUUUUUUUCUGUCUAGCACACAAACACUUGGAUCAUGUCCUGUAAUACAGUGAUGCCGUUAUAAAUGGAAACAGACAGCUGAAGAAACUGCUCUUGUCUGUAUCGUCUUGUACCGAUGACCUUGUCCUGCUCAUCCUUGACUCUGCCCACUCGUCUUGCCAGCCGCUUUUGUUGGAUUUUGAUAGCAGAGAUCGGGAUGGAUGAAUGACGGCCUCCCUAACUCGCCUGUGACUCUUUUGUUUCUGUUCAGAUGAGUUUGAAAAACACACACAGUCCAUUCAGAUACAGGUGUGUGUGUGUGUGUCCUGUGGUGUCAGUCUCUCAGCUGUGAUUACAAUGAGGACUGACCCUGGUGUCGUGGUGAUAGUAGUGCUCUAAUGAACACUAAUGAAUCAGAUGGCUGACAAUGUGAGCACCAGGAAUCUUUUGUGUUCAUGUCACUUCAGUCAUGAUGAAGAGGUGUGUGUGUAUGUGUUGUGUGUGUUGUGCCUGAAGCUAUACAACCAAAUCAAUCUAUCAGCAGAUAAAAGAAUCAUGCAUCACACAGGAGUCCAGGAAUAGAUGCAGAUUUAGAAGAUCAUUUGCUGGGCUAUGCAAAACCUAUGCUAAUUCUCAGUGAUUGCUCUGAUGAGUCAUUUGGGUUUUGUCUUUCUUCUCUUUGUAUGUGGCUCUGCUCUACAUGGGUUUUCUUUGAGUAUUUUGGUAUUCCUUUGUUCAUCCUCAUUGUUGGAUAUAUGUUUCCAUUAGUAAUAACACAGAUUUUUACCUUAGCAAAAGCAGCUUCUCAAAUUAGCUUCAGAAACAAUGCAUUUGUUCGCAAUUACUUAUAUACAGUAUGCAUACACUGGCCUGUUGUGGCUGAUAGACAGAUAUUCAAAUUCUAUUGUAUUUUGUCAAAAUAAAUAAAUAAUAAAAGCACAGAAAACUAAAAUCAGUAAUUUAAAUAAAAGAGCUAAAAAUAAAUCAUAGCAUGCAAUAUUCAUUUGAGAUCUGUUAAAGAUUACAUCUAACAGUGUUAUAAAAUUAUUUAUAUUUUUAAUGUUUAAGAUUAAGGCAUUAGAUGAUGGCAAAGGCAAUCUAAAUGUUAAAACUGGGAAAAUGAGCAUACAAUUAAAUAUCCAAUAACAACUGAUAAAUAUUCAAUGUUGACUGAUACGAUGAAUAAAAAAACACCCUCUAAUAUCAACCGAUAAUAGAUAUGGUACCAAUAAAGUAAAACUAAAAAACUAAAAACUGAAAUCAGUUAUUUUAAAUUCUAUAGUGAAUUUAGGCAAAACAACAUUAUAAUGUGCAUUAUGAAAAAAGGACUGAUUAUUUUAAGAUAUGAAAAUUUGGGAAAUGCACAUUUAAAUGCCGAAUAUCAUCCAAAAGCCCUAAAUAAAAAUAAAUCUGUAAUAUCGCCCAAUAACCAGUCUAUGCUGCACUCAAAGCUGCUGUUGGUUAGGUGGAGAUUUAAUGGAUAAACUUAUUUAAUAAAUAAAAUCGUACAAAUUGUGAAAAUACUUUUUUUGUUGUGAAAGUUAUAAAAGUUGUCAUCUGUGAUAUUUACUUUAAUCACUCUAGUUGUUAUGUGUCAUUAAUGGCUAUUAAUAGGGCUAGAAAAAUAGCUUGACUUGAAUCAUUUACUAAUACAGAUAAUAAUCGAGCUGCUUCUGUUGCAUGAACAGAACAAUUUUGGAGUGAUUAUAUUGUUGUGAAACACUGGCUGAGCAGAUGUACUUAGUAAUGCUCUCAACAGUUUUUUUUUCAGAGGGAAAUAGAGAAGUGAGUGCUUAAAUAAAACCUUCAUCUGAGUUGUGUAGAGGCCUGGAGGUUGACUUUUCGGUGAAUGCAUUCAUCGUUUAUAAUGACACGAUUGGCCUCAUUUGCAUAUUUGAACUGUUUGGUUAGACUGUUGGUUGGCUGGUUAGACAGCACGCAGUUCCUCUGGGUUCUUAUGGA
Molecule: long non-coding RNA, 2051 nt
Organism: Cyprinus carpio carpio
Lineage: Eukaryota; Metazoa; Chordata; Actinopteri; Cypriniformes; Cyprinidae
Source: Ensembl